RNAcentral lists this long non-coding RNA (344 nucleotides) under Brassica napus (rape). Its description in RNAcentral is "long non-coding RNA (BNAP_LNC023039)". The record is from RNAcentral. Lineage: Eukaryota; Viridiplantae; Streptophyta; Magnoliopsida; Brassicales; Brassicaceae.
UUUUCGGAAUCAUACAAAUAUUCGUAAUAUUUAACCGCGGAUCCAUAUCUCCUGAAACCAAAAAAUUAUUCACCAUCUCAACCACAUCCUUCUAAUAACAUGCCAGGAAUGCUGAAAAAAAAGAGAGAUGUCAUUCCAUCCGGACCUGGCGCUUUCUCCGGGUGCAUCAUAAAUAAAGCUUCUCGGACAUCAUCCCAUGUUGCUAUUCUCAAUAAUUUUUGAUUCAUUUGGGGGGAAAUAGACGGUACUAUCUCUUCCAAAAAACUAUCAAACUCUGUUGGAGUGGUAGAACAAAACAGACCUUCAAAAUAAUCAACCGCCACAUUCUCAAUUUCAUUCUCCUC